RNAcentral lists this ribosomal RNA (253 nucleotides) under uncultured bacterium. Its description in RNAcentral is "partial 16S ribosomal RNA". It matches the Rfam family "Bacterial small subunit ribosomal RNA", at positions 524 to 776 of the family's 1533-position model. The record is from RNAcentral.
UACGGAGGGUGCAAGCGUUAAUCGGAAUUACUGGGCGUAAAGCGUGCGCAGGCGGUUGUGCAAGACAGAUGUGAAAUCCCCGGGCUUAACCUGGGAAUUGCAUUUGUGACUGCACGGCUAGAGUGUGUCAGAGGGGGGUAGAAUUCCACGUGUAGCAGUGAAAUGCGUAGAUAUGUGGAGGAAUACCGAUGGCGAAGGCAGCCCCCUGGGACAACACUGACGCUCAUGCACGAAAGCGUGGGGAGCAAACAGG